This 577-nucleotide ribosomal RNA is filed under the name uncultured Lachnospiraceae bacterium. RNAcentral's name for it is "bacterial SSU rRNA". It matches the Rfam family "Bacterial small subunit ribosomal RNA", at positions 68 to 661 of the family's 1533-position model. The record is from RNAcentral. Lineage: Bacteria; Bacillati; Bacillota; Clostridia; Lachnospirales; Lachnospiraceae.
AAGUUUUCGGAUGGAUUUAAAGCAGCUUAGUGGCGGACGGGUGAGUAACGCGUGGGUAACCUGCCUCACACUGGGGGAUAACAGUUAGAAAUAGCUGCUAAUACCGCAUAAGCGCACAGUUCCGCAUGGAACAGUGUGAAAAACUCCGGUGGUGUGAGAUGGACCCGCGUCUGAUUAGCCAGUUGGCGGGGUAACGGCCCACCAAAGCGACGAUCAGUAGCCGGCCUGAGAGGGUGAACGGCCACAUUGGGACUGAGACACGGCCCAAACUCCUACGGGAGGCAGCAGUGGGGAAUAUUGCACAAUGGGGGAAACCCUGAUGCAGCGACGCCGCGUGAGUGAAGAAGUAUUUCGGUAUGUAAAGCUCUAUCAGCAGGGAAGAAAGUGACGGUACCUGAAUAAGAAGCCCCGGCUAACUACGUGCCAGCAGCCGCGGUAAUACGUAGGGGGCAAGCGUUAUCCGGAUUUACUGGGUGUAAAGGGAGCGUAGACGGCAAGGCAAGUCUGAAGUGAAAGCCCGGUGCUUAACGCCGGGACUGCUUUGGAAACUGUUUGGCUGGAGUGCCGGAGAGGUAAG